GAACCUUAGCCUUAAACAGGAUGUGAACCCUUGUCUUGAAAUUCUCUACCUUGAGUUGGGAUGAGCUUAAUUGUAUGCGAUGAAAAGGUUCAAGUUUGGGGUUGCACGGGGGAAAUUAAAAGGCGAAUGAAAAGCAUUGAGCUCAAAUGUUGUGAAAGAAAAAUUCAUGAGAGAAAGAAAAGAAAAGAAGAAAAGCAUGAAGUUGAGCUCAACGAAAAAGAAAAGGGGAAAAGUUGGGAAUGAGUGAGAUUGGUGAGGAAGAGAGUUGUGCUUAAAUGAUGAAUAUUAUUAUAGCUCUCUUGAUUCAAGGACUUUGCAUUCCGGAAAAACCAAUUUUUCUUGUUAGCCCAACC
Molecule: long non-coding RNA, 353 nt
Filed under: Vigna radiata
Lineage: Eukaryota; Viridiplantae; Streptophyta; Magnoliopsida; Fabales; Fabaceae
Description: long non-coding RNA (VRAD_LNC004699)
Source: RNAcentral